CCUGGCCAGACCGAGUAGGCCGCGAGGCCGAAAGCAGAGCCGUUUUGAGGAAGGAAGGCGUGACCAUCGGCCGCAAGGCCGUAAAUAUGCACCCCGCGCAGGCGGGCGGACGCUUCUUGCAUGGCCGGCCGGCUUCGGCGUUCACCCCGGUUUCAUGCCCGUCCUGCAAGCGGCUGCCAGAACGCCACUGCGAGCCGUGCGGGGUGCCCUCAUGAACUCGAACGACC
This 227-nucleotide small RNA is filed under the name Olsenella sp. An188. RNAcentral describes it as "RT-2 RNA". It matches the Rfam family "RT-2 RNA". From Rfam's summary of the family: Coriobacteriales (Actinobacteria), Clostridiales (Firmicutes). Downstream gene Lineage: Bacteria; Bacillati; Actinomycetota; Coriobacteriia; Coriobacteriales; Atopobiaceae. The record is from Rfam by way of RNAcentral.